UAUACUAGUGAAGGCCCGCGCUUCGCGGCGGGACAUUUAUAUAAUUUUUAAAAUAUUUAAAUAUUUUUUUUUAAUUUUUUAAUUUUUAAAUUUAAUUUUAAAAUUUAAACUUCAAAAAUGAAGAGAGUAAAAUUUAAAAAAAUGUUUAAAUAGAGAGAAAUAAAAAAAAUUAAAAUCUGAAACACCCAAUUAAAAUUAAAAUAAACGCUGUAUGCUAACUAUUAAAUUUAAAAUCUAAAUAUAAAAAUAUAAAAUCUGUAAAUUUAAAUUUUAAAAUCUCUCUCUCUCUCUCCCUCU
Molecule: long non-coding RNA, 297 nt
Filed under: Ananas comosus (pineapple)
Lineage: Eukaryota; Viridiplantae; Streptophyta; Magnoliopsida; Poales; Bromeliaceae
Description: long non-coding RNA (ACOM_LNC031378)
Source: RNAcentral